RNAcentral lists this microRNA (23 nucleotides) under Aedes aegypti (yellow fever mosquito). RNAcentral's name for it is "Aae-Mir-999_5p* (star (passenger))". The record is from RNAcentral. Lineage: Eukaryota; Metazoa; Arthropoda; Insecta; Diptera; Culicidae.
ACGCGGUCGUGCAGGAAAUUAUU